This 253-nucleotide ribosomal RNA is filed under the name uncultured bacterium. RNAcentral's name for it is "partial 16S ribosomal RNA". It matches the Rfam family "Bacterial small subunit ribosomal RNA", at positions 524 to 776 of the family's 1533-position model. The record is from RNAcentral.
UACGAAGGGGGCUAGCGUUGUUCGGAUUUACUGGGCGUAAAGCGCACGUAGGCGGUUUGUUAAGUCAGGGGUGAAAUCCCACAGCUCAACUGUGGAACUGCCUUUGAUACUGGCAAGCUAGAGUCCGGAAGAGGUAAGUGGAACUCCUAGUGUAGAGGUGGAAUUCGUAGAUAUUAGGAAGAACACCAGUGGCGAAGGCGGCUCACUGGCCCGGUACUGACGCUGAGGCGCGAAAGCGUGGGGAGCAAACAGG